This 251-nucleotide ribosomal RNA is filed under the name uncultured bacterium. RNAcentral's name for it is "partial 16S ribosomal RNA". It matches the Rfam family "Bacterial small subunit ribosomal RNA", at positions 524 to 774 of the family's 1533-position model. The record is from RNAcentral.
UACGUAGGGGGCAAGCGUUAUCCGGAUUUACUGGGUGUAAAGGGAGCGUAGACGGCAAGGCAAGCCAGAAGUGAAAGGGCAGGGCUCAACCCUGUACAUGCUUUUGGAACUGUGGUGCUAGAGUGCAGGAGAGGUAAGUGGAAUUCCUAGUGUAGCGGUGAAAUGCGUAGAUAUUAGGAGGAACACCAGUGGCGAAGGCGGCUUACUGGACUGUAACUGACGUUGAGGCUCGAAAGCGUGGGGAGCAAACA